AUGUAUAAGAGGUGAGACUGUUGGCUUUAAUCCUACCAAUAACUUCAGCUGCAUCAUGAAGAGUAGACAGAGAUUCUGGCGGUUGAGGGUUUCUUCGUAGAGGUUGAUCGAUUCUUAAUGUCCUGUGGAUUUUAAGUUCCCAAAACUGUUGCUUAGGACAUACAAGAUCGUUCAAUGUCCAAGAAGAAACCUGAGCCGCUACAAUCAUCGGUCUAAUCUCUUUAGCAGAUGAAGUUAUUUGUGGUAUAAAACCCACAGUUUUAUCAUGCAU
Molecule: microRNA precursor, 271 nt
Filed under: Arabidopsis thaliana (thale cress)
Lineage: Eukaryota; Viridiplantae; Streptophyta; Magnoliopsida; Brassicales; Brassicaceae
Description: miR856 stem-loop (ath-MIR856)
Gene: ath-MIR856
Rfam family: MIR856 microRNA precursor family
Source: miRBase by way of RNAcentral